UACGUAGGGGGCAAGCGUUGUCCGGAUUUAUUGGGCGUAAAGCGCUCGCAGGCGGCCUGGCCAAGUCGUGCGUGAAAUCUCCCGGCUCAACUGGGAGCGGUCGUGCGAUACUGGUCGGCUCGAGGCCGGUAGGGGGGAGUGGAAUUCCGGGUGUAGUGGUGGAAUGCGUAGAUAUCCGGAGGAACACCAGUGGCGAAGGCGGCUCCCUGGACCGGUCCUGACGCUCAGGAGCGAAAGCGUGGGUAGCGAUCCGGAUUAGAUACCCCCGUAGUCC
RNAcentral lists this ribosomal RNA (274 nucleotides) under uncultured bacterium. RNAcentral describes it as "partial 16S ribosomal RNA". It matches the Rfam family "Bacterial small subunit ribosomal RNA", at positions 524 to 796 of the family's 1533-position model. The record is from RNAcentral.